This 305-nucleotide unclassified non-coding RNA is filed under the name Hevea brasiliensis (rubber tree). The record is from RNAcentral. Lineage: Eukaryota; Viridiplantae; Streptophyta; Magnoliopsida; Malpighiales; Euphorbiaceae.
GAAAAAAUGAAUCCAGAAAAUGCAGUCGGGAGCAAUCAAUUUUGCUGCGUAACAGAUACCGUUGCCAAACACAUCCAGAACAUUUAGCGACGAUUUGUUUUGCGGCGCCCCAACUAUCAGAAAAAUAAUGAAAUUAUCUUGUCGACGGAAUAGCUAAGUGCCGUCGCUAAAUACUAACACCGUUGCCAAAUAAAGAUUACCGUUGAAUGUUAAUUGGUACUCACAAAAUUUCAUUUACUCCUUAAAGUACAAUCGAGGAGGAAUACAUACUGGAAGAGCAUGAUCUCAUUAAACAAAAUUUAAAA